CACGUAGGGUGCGAGCGUUGUCCGGAAUUAUUGGGCGUAAAGAGCUCGUAGGCGGUGUGUCGCGUCGGCCGUGAAAACCUGCAGCUUAACUGUGGGCGUGCGGUCGAUACGGGCAUCACUGGAGUUCGGUAGGGGAGACUGGAAUUCCUGGUGUAGCGGUGAAAUGCGCAGAUAUCAGGAGGAACACCGGUGGCGAAGGCGGGUCUCUGGGCCGAUACUGACGCUGAGGAGCGAAAGCGUGGGGGAGCGAACAGG
Molecule: ribosomal RNA, 255 nt
Filed under: uncultured bacterium
Lineage: Bacteria
Description: partial 16S ribosomal RNA
Rfam family: Bacterial small subunit ribosomal RNA
Source: RNAcentral